This 851-nucleotide ribosomal RNA is filed under the name Bacillus sp. (in: firmicutes). RNAcentral's name for it is "bacterial SSU rRNA". It matches the Rfam family "Bacterial small subunit ribosomal RNA", at positions 114 to 950 of the family's 1533-position model. The record is from RNAcentral. Lineage: Bacteria; Bacillati; Bacillota; Bacilli; Caryophanales; Bacillaceae.
CACGUGGGUAACCUGCCUGUAAGACUGGGAUAACUCCGGGAAACCGGAGCUAAUACCGGAUAGUUCCUUGAACCGCAUGGUUCAAGGAUGAAAGACGGUUUCGGCUGUCACUUACAGAUGGACCCGCGGCGCAUUAGCUAGUUGGUGGGGUAAUGGCUCACCAAGGCGACGAUGCGUAGCCGACCUGAGAGGGUGAUCGGCCACACUGGGACUGAGACACGGCCCAGACUCCUACGGGAGGCAGCAGUAGGGAAUCUUCCGCAAUGGACGAAAGUCUGACGGAGCAACGCCGCGUGAGUGAUGAAGGUUUUCGGAUCGUAAAGCUCUGUUGUUAGGGAAGAACAAGUGCGAGAGUAACUGCUCGCACCUUGACGGUACCUAACCAGAAAGCCACGGCUAACUACGUGCCAGCAGCCGCGGUAAUACGUAGGUGGCAAGCGUUGUCCGGAAUUAUUGGGCGUAAAGGGCUCGCAGGCGGUUUCUUAAGUCUGAUGUGAAAGCCCCCGGCUCAACCGGGGAGGGUCAUUGGAAACUGGGAAACUUGAGUGCAGAAGAGGAGAGUGGAAUUCCACGUGUAGCGGUGAAAUGCGUAGAGAUGUGGAGGAACACCAGUGGCGAAGGCGACUCUCUGGUCUGUAACUGACGCUGAGGAGCGAAAGCGUGGGGAGCGAACAGGAUUAGAUACCCUGGUAGUCCACGCCGUAAACGAUGAGUGCUAAGUGUUAGGGGGUUUCCGCCCCUUAGUGCUGCAGCUAACGCAUUAAGCACUCCGCCUGGGGAGUACGGUCGCAAGACUGAAACUCAAAGGAAUUGACGGGGGCCCGCACAAGCGGUGGAGCAUGUGGUUUAAU